GUGAUUUAGUCCUAUGACAGAUUUUGAGGAAAUUAAUUCUAUAUGAAUACAAAGUAAUAGAACUGGGAAAGGUUAAGUCCCCUGUUUUAGCAUUGUCAAUUGUAGAUGAGCAGAAAUUAGAAGAGGAAAAUCAGCUGUAGAGGGGCUGUGAAGGAGUUCUGUUUUAAGGAUUUCCAUUUUUGAGUCUCUUAUUUCUCGAGGAACAGUUUUACUUGAAAGCACAAAAUAUAGGGAACUAACAUUUUAAACAAUUAUCUUUGCUGCAUCAAACUAAACCAAGAUUUUUAGGAUGCCCAUAUCUUGGAACAAAGAUGUUUAAGUUUUUUUUCCAGUGCUCAUGUCAUGCAGCGAGAAGGACUUUGAAUUGUGAGAAAACUGAAGUUAUCUUGCAAUUCUUCAUGCUGAGAUCAUCUCUUAGCAGUCUUUCCCACAGGCAGUAAUCUCAACAGGAUAAUGGCGGUUCUGAUGCCUCGGGCAAAUGCUGAAUGCAACUCGAGUCUCUGAA
RNAcentral lists this unclassified non-coding RNA (505 nucleotides) under Hevea brasiliensis (rubber tree). The record is from RNAcentral. Lineage: Eukaryota; Viridiplantae; Streptophyta; Magnoliopsida; Malpighiales; Euphorbiaceae.